GACGAACGCUGGCGGCGUGCUUAACACAUGCAAGUCGAACGAAGAGCGAUGGAAGCUUGCUUCUAUCAAUCUUAGUGGCGUACGGGUGAGUAACGCGUAAUCAACCUGCCCUUCAGAGGGGGACAACAGUUGGAAACGACUGCUAAUUCCGCAUACGAUCCAAUCUCGGCAUCGAGGAUAGAUGAAAGGUGGCCUCUACAUGUAAGCUAUCACUGAAGGAGGGGAUUGCGUCUGAUUAGCUAGUUGGAGGGGUAACGGCCCACCAAGGCGAUGAUCAGUAGCCGGUCUGAGAGGAUGAACGGCCACAUUGGGACUGAGACACGGCCCAGACUCCUACGGGAGGCAGCAGUGGGGAAUCUUCCGCAAUGGACGAAAGUCUGACGGAGCAACGCCGCGUGAGUGAUGACGGCCUUCGGGUUGUAAAGCUCUG
RNAcentral lists this ribosomal RNA (430 nucleotides) under Veillonella parvula. RNAcentral describes it as "bacterial SSU rRNA". It matches the Rfam family "Bacterial small subunit ribosomal RNA", at positions 28 to 435 of the family's 1533-position model. Lineage: Bacteria; Bacillati; Bacillota; Negativicutes; Veillonellales; Veillonellaceae. The record is from RNAcentral.